ACUCUGACUCGAAGGUGGGGGUGUCUGGUUGUCGAGCGGGCGCAUUCGUGUUCGGUCGGGGGCUGGGGGCUUUUGCAAUACUUUACCUUUUUUACUUUGAAAAAACUAGAGUGUUCAAGGCAGGCCUUAGGGCCAUUGAAUAUUGCAGCAUGGGAUAAUGGAAGAGGACAAUUGUUCUUAUUUUGUUGGUUUUUUAAGACGAUUGUAAUGAUUAAAGGGGACAGUUGGGGUGGUUUGUAUUGCGGUGUCAGAGGUGAAAUUCUUAGAUUACCGUAAGACAGACUUCUGCGAAAGCAAUCCACUAGGAUGUUUUCAUCAAUCAAGAACGAAAGUUGAGGGAUCGAAGACGAUCAGAUACCGUCGUAGUCUCAACCAUAAACAAUGCCGACCAAGGAUUGGAGAGUGUUAAACAAUAUGACUUCCCCAGCACUUUGCGAGAAAUCACAAGUCUUUGGGUUCCGGGGGGAGUAUGGUCGCAAGGCUGAAACUUAAAGGAAUUGACGGAAGGGCACCACCAGGCGUGGAGCCUGCGGCUUAAUUUGACUCAACACGGGGAAACUUACCAGGUCCAGACAGCGUGAGGAUUGACAGAUUGAAAGCUCUUUCAUGAUUCGUUGGGUGGUGGUGCAUGGCCGUUCUUAGUUGGUGGUGUGAAUUGUCUGGUUGAUUCCGUUAACGAACGAGACCUUGACCUAUUAAAUAGUCACUGGAAGAUAUUGCACUAAGGCGUGCGUGGCUCACCUGAGGAAGGAUUCGUUCCCCUUGGGUGGAUUGUUCGCGUACGUUGCACUUUUUCCAGGAAGUACUUCUUAGGGGGACUAUUUUGCGACAAGCAAAUGGAAGUUCGAGGCAAAAACAGGUCUGUGAUGCCCUUCGAUGUUCUGGGCUGCACGCGCGCUACACUGACAAAGUCAACGAGUUUACAACCUUGCCCGAAAGGGCUGGGUAAUCUUUUGAAACUUUGUCGUGAUGGGGAUAGAUGAUUGCAAUUAUUCGUCUUAAACGAGGAAUGCCUAGUAAGCGCGGUUCAUCAGACCGCGUUGAUUACGUCCCUGCCCUUUGUACACACCGCCCGUCGCUCCUACCGAUUGAAUGGUCCGGUGAAAUCUUCGGAUCACGAGGUCGUCUGUUCAGUGGUUCUGCUGCUGUCAGCGCUCGAGAGAGGUUGAUUAAACCUU
This 1178-nucleotide ribosomal RNA is filed under the name metagenome. Its description in RNAcentral is "bacterial SSU rRNA". It matches the Rfam family "Eukaryotic small subunit ribosomal RNA", at positions 661 to 1767 of the family's 1831-position model. The record is from RNAcentral.